GAUGAACGCUAGCGAUAGGCUUAACACAUGCAAGUCGAGGGGCAGCAUGGUCUUAGCUUGCUAAGACUGAUGGCGACCGGCGCACGGGUGCGUAACGCGUAUGCAACUUGCCUCACAGAGGGGGAUAACCCGUCGAAAGACGGACUAAUACCGCGUACACUCUAUUUUGGGCAUCCAAGGUAGAGGAAAUGAAAUUCGCUGUGAGAUAGGCAUGCGUCCCAUUAGCCAGUUGGUGAGGUAACGGCUCACCAAGGCGACGAUGGGUAGGGGAACUGAGAGGUUGAACCCCCACACUGGUACUGAGACACGGACCAGACUCCUACGGGAGGCAGCAGUGAGGAAUAUUGGUCAAUGGGCGAGGGCCUGAACCAGCCAAGUCGCGUGAAGGAGGACUGUCUUAUGGAUUGUAAACUUCUUUUGUAGGGGAAUAAAGAGGGGCACGUGUGCCCCAGUGAAUGUACCCUACGAAUAAGCAUCGGCUAACUCCGUG
This 490-nucleotide ribosomal RNA is filed under the name uncultured bacterium. Its description in RNAcentral is "partial 16S ribosomal RNA". It matches the Rfam family "Bacterial small subunit ribosomal RNA", at positions 28 to 507 of the family's 1533-position model. The record is from RNAcentral.